Molecule: ribosomal RNA, 253 nt
Filed under: uncultured bacterium
Lineage: Bacteria
Description: partial 16S ribosomal RNA
Rfam family: Bacterial small subunit ribosomal RNA
Source: RNAcentral
GACGAACCGUGCGAACGUUGUUCGGAAUCACUGGGCUUAAAGGGCGCGUAGGCGGGCUGUCAAGUCCGGGGUGAAAUCUUUCGGCUCAACCGGGAAAGUGCCUUGGAUACUGAUGGUCUGGAAGGAGGUAGGGGUAUGUGGAACUUCCGGUGGAGCGGUGAAAUGCGUUGAUAUCGGAAGGAACGCCGGUGGCGAAAGCGACGUACUGGACCUCUUCUGACGCUGAGGCGCGAAAGCUAGGGGAGCGAACGGG